This 871-nucleotide ribosomal RNA is filed under the name uncultured bacterium. RNAcentral's name for it is "bacterial SSU rRNA". It matches the Rfam family "Bacterial small subunit ribosomal RNA", at positions 73 to 946 of the family's 1533-position model. The record is from RNAcentral.
CUCCGAGCAAUCGGGGUGAGAGUGGCGCACGGGUGAGUAACGCGUAUGCAACCUGCCUUUAACAGAGGGAUAGCCCAUAGAAAUGUGGAUUAAUACCUCAUAGUUCUUUUGAGUCGCAUGAUUUGGAAGAUAAAGCUCCGGCGGUUAAAGAUGGGCAUGCGUGACAUUAGCUAGUUGGUGAGGUAACGGCUCACCAAGGCUACGAUGUCUAGGGGUUCUGAGAGGAUGAUCCCCCACACUGGUACUGAGACACGGACCAGACUCCUACGGGAGGCAGCAGUGAGGAAUAUUGGUCAAUGGGCGCAAGCCUGAACCAGCCAUCCCGCGUGCAGGAUGACGGCCCUAUGGGUUGUAAACUGCUUUUAUACACCAAGAAAAAUCCCCACGUGUGGGGACCCGACGGUAGUGUAUGAAUAAGCAUCGGCUAACUCCGUGCCAGCAGCCGCGGUAAUACGGAGGAUGCAAGCGUUAUCCGGAUUCAUUGGGUUUAAAGGGUGCGUAGGCGGCUUUUUAAGUCAGUGGUGAAAUCUUGCCGCUUAACGGUAAAAUUGCCAUUGAUACUGAAGAGCUUGAGUACAGUUGAGGUAGGCGGAAUGUGUAGUGUAGCGGUGAAAUGCUUAGAUAUUACACAGAACACCAAUUGCGAAGGCAGCUUACUAAACUGAUACUGACGCUGAUGCACGAAAGCGUGGGGAGCGAACAGGAUUAGAUACCCUGGUAGUCCACGCCGUAAACGAUGCUCACUCGCUGUUUGCGAUACACAGCAAGCGGCCAAGCGAAAGCAUUAAGUGAGCCACCUGGGGAGUACGAUCGCAAGGUUGAAACUCAAAGGAAUUGACGGGGGCCCGCACAAGCGGAGGAACAUGUGGUU